Molecule: ribosomal RNA, 253 nt
Filed under: uncultured bacterium
Lineage: Bacteria
Description: partial 16S ribosomal RNA
Rfam family: Bacterial small subunit ribosomal RNA
Source: RNAcentral
UACAGAGGUCCCGAGCGUUGUUCGGAUUCAUUGGGCGUAAAGGGUGCGUAGGCGGCUUCCUAAGUUUGAUGUGAAAUCCUGGGGCUCAACCCUGGAACUGCAUUGAAUACUGGGAGGCUAGAGUACUGGAGGGGAAACUGGAAUUUACGGUGUAGCAGUGAAAUGCGUAGAGAUCGUAAGGAAGACCAGUGGCGAAGGCGAGUUUCUGGACAGUUACUGACGCUGAGGCACGAAGGCCAGGGGAGCAAACGGG